CUCCCAGGAAAUCAAAGAGGCCUUCUGUUCUAUCAGAUGACAAACAUCUCAUUUUCUUGGCACCAACUCAACAACAAGCAAAUGCCAGACUUCCAGACUUCGUAAAUGAACGAAUCCAAAACCUAGAAAAAUCCUUGCCAAGGCUAAAGAGGAGGUGGCUAGCUGGCACACUCUGCUACAAACAGCCCCUAGAUGACUGCAACCGAGGGCUUUAUGGAACAUGUUCUUCCUUCUUCACUUUUGGAUUCAGAUUCAGCAGAUGUCAACUGAAGCUCCUUGUCUGCCCUCCAAAACUGCUCACCCACAGUUCUGUUCACACUAGUAAAUUCUACCUCCGUUUUUCUGGUUGUAUCUUUGUCUUCAUCUGUUCUCACAGACCAUGGCCAAUCCAUUAACCAAUGCUGCUAAUGUUACCUUCAAACCCUGAACUUGGCAAUUCCUGCCACCAACUAUGGUUUCAGCAUUUGCACCUGUGAACUCAUUGUUAAAGACAAGCUCAAGCUAAUGAGCUGAUAAUAUUUGCAGCUUGGAUCAUUGAUAGCUGACCAUUUCUUUGUGGCUCUGCCCUUAUGGAUGGCUUACUUAACCCAUCAAUGGAUUGUUUAGUUGUUAGGGGAGUGGCUUUGUUAUGAAUGUGUCCUUCUGGAAAAUUUACUAUGUCAACAUGUGGCCUCCUCUGCCACAUCAUGACAUGAAGAAGCUAAAAGCUGGGAAUCGUUGGUGCCUUGGUAUUUCUACAUCCAGAACUGUGAAUAAAUAAACUUUUAUGUGGCAUAAAUUA
Long non-coding RNA from Mesocricetus auratus (golden hamster), 781 nucleotides. RefSeq lists it as uncharacterized. The record is from RefSeq and is a predicted model, not a curated record. NCBI's taxonomy places the organism in Eukaryota, Metazoa, Chordata, Mammalia, Rodentia, Cricetidae. The transcript has 2 exons.